RNAcentral lists this ribosomal RNA (492 nucleotides) under uncultured bacterium. Its description in RNAcentral is "partial 16S ribosomal RNA". It matches the Rfam family "Bacterial small subunit ribosomal RNA", at positions 29 to 507 of the family's 1533-position model. The record is from RNAcentral.
AGUGAACGCUGGCGGUAGGCCUAACACAUGCAAGUCGAACGGCAGCACAGUAAGAGCUUGCUCUUACGGGUGGCGAGUGGCGGACGGGUGAGGAAUACAUCGGAAUCUACUUUUUCGUGGGGGAUAACGUAGGGAAACUUACGCUAAUACCGCAUACGACCUACGGGUGAAAGCAGGGGAUCUUCGGACCUUGCGCGAUUGAAUGAGCCGAUGUCGGAUUAGCUAGUUGGCGGGGUAAAGGCCCACCAAGGCGACGAUCCGUAGCUGGUGUGAGAGGAUGAUCAGCCACACUGGAACUGAGACACGGUCCAGACUCCUACGGGAGGCAGCAGUGGGGAAUAUUGGACAAUGGGCGCAAGCCUUACACAGCCAUACCGCGUGGGUGAAGAAGGCCUUCGGGUUGUAAAGCCCUUUUGUUGGGAAAGAAAAGCAGCAGGUUAAUACCCCGCUGUUCUGACGGUACCCAAAGAAUAAGCACCGGCUAACUUCGUG